CGUUGAAACACUGAUUUUCGUACGAUCACCGGAGUUAAGUAACGUUGAGAUUGGUCAGUACCUAGAUGGGUGACCGACUGGGAAUACUAGCUGCUGCAAGC
Acanthosepion pharaonis is the source of this 101-nucleotide non-coding RNA. NCBI's taxonomy places the organism in Eukaryota, Metazoa, Mollusca, Cephalopoda, Sepiida, Sepiidae. The record is from the annotation of a GenBank genome assembly.